RNAcentral lists this ribosomal RNA (1246 nucleotides) under Faecalibacterium hominis (ex Afrizal et al. 2022). Its description in RNAcentral is "bacterial SSU rRNA". It matches the Rfam family "Bacterial small subunit ribosomal RNA", at positions 262 to 1533 of the family's 1533-position model. Lineage: Bacteria; Bacillati; Bacillota; Clostridia; Eubacteriales; Oscillospiraceae. The record is from RNAcentral.
GGCCCACCAAGGCGACGAUCGGUAGCCGGACUGAGAGGUUGAACGGCCACAUUGGGACUGAGACACGGCCCAGACUCCUACGGGAGGCAGCAGUGGGGAAUAUUGCACAAUGGGGGAAACCCUGAUGCAGCGACGCCGCGUGGAGGAAGAAGGUCUUCGGAUUGUAAACUCCUGUUGUUGAGGAAGAUAAUGACGGUACUCAACAAGGAAGUGACGGCUAACUACGUGCCAGCAGCCGCGGUAAAACGUAGGUCACAAGCGUUGUCCGGAAUUACUGGGUGUAAAGGGAGCGCAGGCGGGAAGACAAGUUGGAAGUGAAAUCUAUGGGCUCAACCCAUAAACUGCUUUCAAAACUGUUUUUCUUGAGUAGUGCAGAGGUAGGCGGAAUUCCCGGUGUAGCGGUGGAAUGCGUAGAUAUCGGGAGGAACACCAGUGGCGAAGGCGGCCUACUGGGCACCAACUGACGCUGAGGCUCGAAAGUGUGGGUAGCAAACAGGAUUAGAUACCCUGGUAGUCCACACCGUAAACGAUGAUUACUAGGUGUUGGAGGAUUGACCCCUUCAGUGCCGCAGUUAACACAAUAAGUAAUCCACCUGGGGAGUACGACCGCAAGGUUGAAACUCAAAGGAAUUGACGGGGGCCCGCACAAGCAGUGGAGUAUGUGGUUUAAUUCGACGCAACGCGAAGAACCUUACCAAGUCUUGACAUCCUGCGACGGACAUAGAAAUAUGUUUUUCCUUCGGGACGCAGAGACAGGUGGUGCAUGGUUGUCGUCAGCUCGUGUCGUGAGAUGUUGGGUUAAGUCCCGCAACGAGCGCAACCCUUACUGUCAGUUACUACGCAAGAGGACUCUGGCAGGACUGCCGUUGACAAAACGGAGGAAGGUGGGGAUGACGUCAAAUCAUCAUGCCCUUUAUGACUUGGGCUACACACGUACUACAAUGGCGUUAAACAAAGAGAAGCAAGACCGCGAGGUGGAGCAAAACUCAGAAACAACGUCCCAGUUCGGACUGCAGGCUGCAACUCGCCUGCACGAAGUCGGAAUUGCUAGUAAUCGUGGAUCAGCAUGCCACGGUGAAUACGUUCCCGGGCCUUGUACACACCGCCCGUCACACCAUGAGAGCCGGGGGGACCCGAAGUCGGUAGUCUAACCGCAAGGAGGACGCCGCCGAAGGUAAAACUGGUGAUUGGGGUGAAGUCGUAACAAGGUAGCCGUAGGAGAACCUGCGGCUGGAUCACCUCCUUU